GCCGAGAUAGCUCAAUUGGCAGAGCAAGUGAUUUGUAAUCACUAGGUUCCGAGUUCGACCCUCGGUCUCGGCU
RNAcentral lists this transfer RNA (73 nucleotides) under Candidatus Moraniibacteriota bacterium. RNAcentral describes it as "tRNA-Thr". It matches the Rfam family "tRNA". Rfam says of the family: Transfer RNA (tRNA) molecules are approximately 80 nucleotides in length. Their secondary structure includes four short double-helical elements and three loops (D, anti-codon, and T loops). The record is from RNAcentral. Lineage: Bacteria; Candidatus Moraniibacteriota.